RNAcentral lists this ribosomal RNA (500 nucleotides) under uncultured bacterium. RNAcentral's name for it is "partial 16S ribosomal RNA". It matches the Rfam family "Bacterial small subunit ribosomal RNA", at positions 30 to 523 of the family's 1533-position model. The record is from RNAcentral.
AUUGAACGCUGGCGGCAUGCCUUACACAUGCAAGUCGAACGGCAGCACGGGAGCAAUCCUGGUGGCGAGUGGCGAACGGGUGAGUAAAGUAUCGGAACGUGCCCAGUCGUGGGGGAUAACGUAGCGAAAGUUACGCUAAUACCGCAUACGAUCUAUGGAUGAAAGCGGGGGAUCGCAAGACCUCGCGCGAUUGGAGCGGCCGAUAUCAGAUUAGGUAGGUGGUGGGGUACAGGCUCACCAAGCCGACGAUCUGUAGCUGGUCUGAGAGGACGACCAGCCACACUGGGACUGCGACACGGCCCAGACUCCUACGGGAGGCAGCAGUGGGGAAUUUUGGACAAUGGGCGAAAGCCUGAUCCAGCCAUGCCGCGUGCAGGAUGAAGGCCUUCGGGUUGUAAACUGCUUUUGUACGGAACGAAAAGGUUUGGGCUAAUAAGCUGAGCUCAUGACGGUACCGUAAGAAUAAGCACCGGCUAACUACGUGCCAGCCGCCGCCGUAA